This 250-nucleotide ribosomal RNA is filed under the name uncultured bacterium. RNAcentral describes it as "partial 16S ribosomal RNA". It matches the Rfam family "Bacterial small subunit ribosomal RNA", at positions 524 to 773 of the family's 1533-position model. RNAcentral also lists the same sequence under 2 other names. The record is from RNAcentral.
UACGUAGGGUGCGAGCGUUAAUCGGAAUUACUGGGCGUAAAGCGUGCGCAGGCGGUUGUGUAAGACAGGUGUGAAAUCCCCGGGCUUAACCUGGGAACUGCGCUUGUGACUGCACGGCUAGAGUAUGGCAGAGGGGGGUGGAAUUCCACGUGUAGCAGUGAAAUGCGUAGAGAUGUGGAGGAACACCGAUGGCGAAGGCAGCCCCCUGGGCCAAUACUGACGCUCAUGCACGAAAGCGUGGGGAGCAAAC